RNAcentral lists this ribosomal RNA (250 nucleotides) under uncultured bacterium. RNAcentral describes it as "partial 16S ribosomal RNA". It matches the Rfam family "Bacterial small subunit ribosomal RNA", at positions 524 to 772 of the family's 1533-position model. The record is from RNAcentral.
UACGUAGGGUGCAAGCAUUAAUCGGAAUUAUUGGGCGUAAAGGGCGCGUAGGCGGGGAUAUAAGUCAGAUGUGAAAUUCCAAAGCUCAACUUUGGAGCUGCAUUUGAAACUAUAUUUCUAAGAGGGAUGGAGGAGAAAGCGGAAUUCCACGUGUAGCGGUGAAAUGCGUAGAUAUGUGGAAGAACACCUGUGGCGAAAGCGGCUUUCUAUCUAUUACCUGACGCUGAGGCGCGAGAGCAAGGGGAGCAAA